RNA transcript from Solenopsis invicta (red fire ant), 3563 nucleotides. RefSeq lists it as uncharacterized. The transcript has 8 exons. The record is from RefSeq and is a predicted model, not a curated record. NCBI's taxonomy places the organism in Eukaryota, Metazoa, Arthropoda, Insecta, Hymenoptera, Formicidae.
AAUACAUUUUAUAUUAAAUAAUUGUUAAAAAAUGAUUAAAUCAGUCUAAUGAACACAAAAUAAAAUAAAUUAUAUUAUUGUAUUAUACAAAAAUGAUAAACAUUUGAUUUAUUUAGAAUUGAUUGUGUUGACACAUGCACAUACCCACGCACGCAUACGCACACAUUUCUAAAAAAUACAGUUUAAAAAAUUUAUAAUAUAAGCUGAGAUUUUUAAUAUUUGUUUUCUCCAACGUGGUUCAAAAUUUGAAUCAAUCCUUCUCAAAAUAUUUUAUCAUUUUUAGUUCACGAGAACUGUUGGUUGAAUGACAAUGUGCUAUCGGUUUAACGCUAAAUAUGAUCUCGUUUUUAGGUCAUAAAUAAAAACUUUUUCAGAAAAAUAAGUAGUUGCAUACAAAUAUAUUCGAAUAGUAAUGACGUACUUAUUUUUACGUGAUAUAAACGUACUGUGUUUAAAUUUGAGAUGUAAAAACGAAUAUUCAACUAUAUUCAACUAUAUUCAACUAUACUAAAAAAAAAUUAAAUAUUUGGCUAAUGUAACUAAAAAUAAUUUUACUUUUCUAAAUAUUUAGUAAUUUUUACCAGAUUUGUUAAUAUUUACUAAACAUUUAGAUAUACAAAAUUAUUUUUGGUUAUAUUGACAAAAUAUUUAAUUGAUAUUAUUUUAUUAUACAUUUGGUAGUUAUAACUAAAUUUUUUUUCAGUGUAUGAGUACAAAAACUCGUUUAUCAAUCAAAUUGCACAUUUUGCAACCUCAUCAUUCAGAAAAGAUUAUAAUAAUUAUUAUAUAGUGAAAGAUAAAAAAAGGUAAAAAAGAUAAAGAAGACAUUGCAUUAGAAACUUUUGAUACAAAUUUGAUGCAAGUCGUAAAUACUUUAAUAUUACAUAUCACUUAUUUCUCGUUUGACAAACACGUAGGGGAUGACGGAGCAAGAGAAAGUUGGGGAGGUAAGACAGAGGGGUUCCCCUAUAUCGCGUGAUUCGAAUUCACGAGCGAGCCAACGCGUUAGUUGCAGCUGUUCGGUUAUUGACAGUUAUCCACGCGCCAGCAAUGUUGGCAGUUGCAAUAUUAAGCUGGACUAUGUAUUUUUUUGCAAUUUUCUUAUGACUUUAUCUCACUUUUUCAUUUGUGACAUUUGUAUUAAAUUAUAGUAAUUUUCUUUUGAAUAUAUGUGCUUUACAGACAACAUUUAAUAGCUUGCAAGAUAAAAUGUUAUUUUCUACUUUUGUAAAGAGUGUUUGGACUAUCAUUUCGAUCACACGAGAAGGGCAAGAGUUGGGAAUAAGAAAAUAGUGUAACAACAUGCAACAAGAUUGUGAAUCCAUGUAACAAUUAAUCACAAUCAACACAGAGCCAAUUCUUCUCUUUGGACAGUCAAUUAGCAUGUGCACAAUUGAGUUGUGUUCCAGAAGUCUUACGCCUGGUAACAUUAUUAAAAACUAUGUUGCUGCGUAAUCUGCAGAAUGAGGCCAGAUGCGUGAGCUAUGAUAAACGAUUACUGUUUUUAUGAUUAUUUAAUGCAUUACUACGAUAUGAGUUAGGAUUUUUUUCGAAAUUGAUGUUACUUCUGGUUAUUGAUCUUAAAAUCGUGAAUUCGUUGCGUGCUAUUGCACAUGUGCCGUUGGCGUUUACAACAUUAUACAUGAACUCCUGCUCAAGAAAAAUUAUUUAGGAUUGACAUGUUUAUAAGAUACGGUUACUGCAAGUUAGAAUUUGGUGCAAAAUUGAUGUUACUUCUGGAUUGAUCUCAUAUUGAUCUCAAAAUCGUGAACUUGCUGCGUACUUCUGCACACGUGCCAUUGUCGUUUACAACAUUAUACAUGAACUCUAUAUAACUCCUGCUCAAGAAAGAAUAUUUAAGAUCAACAUGUCUACAAGAUGUGCGAAUUAUGCUAAACAAAUACUGAUUCCUUUUACAAUUGUUUAAUAAGUUACUACGAGUUAGAAUUUGGUGCAAAGUUGAUGUUACUUCUGGAUAUUGAUUUCAAAAUCAUAAACUCGUUGCGUACUACUGCACACCUACCGUUGUCGUUUGCAACAUUAUACAUGAACUCCAUGCAAUUCCUGCUCAAGAAAGAAUAUUUGAGAUCAACAUGUCUACAUGAUGUACGAUCGUAUGAUAAACAACUACUGAUAUUUUUACAAUUAUUUUAUGGAUUACUACGAUAUGAGUUAGGAUUUGGUGCAGACUUGAUGCUACUUCUGGUUAUUGAUAACAAAAUCGUGAACUCGUUGCUUACUAUUGCACACCUGCCGUUGUCGUUUACAAUAUUUAUACAUGAACUUCUGCUCAAGAAAGAAUACUUAAGAUCAACAUGUCUACAAGAAGUGCGAGAUAUGACAACUAUUUCUUUUUUGUAUCACUAUUUAAUGUGUUACUACAAUGUAAAAUUUGGUGCGGAAUUGAUGUUACUUCUGAUCAGUGCUCUCAAAAUCGUCAACGUAGCGUAUUGUUGUGUAUCUACCAUUGUCGUUUAAAAUAUUAAUCUUGAACUUCUAUUCAAGAAAAAAUAUUUAAGAUCAGCAUGCUUACAAGAAUCAUCAGCUUGUUGCGUAUCAUUGUACAGCUGCACGUUGUCGUUUACCAUACAAAUACAAUGAUAAACUGCUUUGCAAGGAAGAAGAUCAAUGCAGCUUACAAGAAAUUAUAUAGUAUUUAAUGUGGAUUAUAUAGCAAAAUCUGCAGAGGCAAAUUUCGAGCAGAGAAUGUGCUACUAAUUUUUAAUGACAAAAGAUGGGCGAGCUGCGGCAUUUACUGUUUUCUUAUAAUUAUUUAAUGUUGCAAGUCAGGAUGUGAUACGGAAUUAAUGCUACUUCUGGUUGCUCCCAAAUCGUUAACUCGUUUACUUUUGUAUAUCUGCCAUUGUCGGUUACAAUAUUAUUCAUAAACUCCUGUUUAAGCAAGAAUAUUUAAGAUCUACAUGUAUUUAAGGUACUGUAAUACUUAAGAUAGUUAUUGUUCUUUAAUUAUAAGCUUAAUAAUUACAUUAAUAAAUGCUAGAUUAAUAACAAAGUAUAGGGUGUUUAAUAAGUACUGAUAAUUAUCACUUCUCAUGGACAAACUUUUUAAUUAAUUUUUUAUUAAUAUUUACAAUUUACCUUUAUAAUUGUCUAAUUAAUAUAUUUUAGACCGUUAACAAAAUUAAUUAAUUCACUUUUGAUUUUUGAUUUUAUUAAGUUAUUUUAGAAACAGAAGGAUUAAAUAGAAAAGUUUCGUAUGACAAGAAGAUAACUUUGCUUAAAUAUUAGAUUUAUAUAUGUAUAUAUUAUUAUAUUACUUACAUACUUAUCCAUAUGGUUGAUAAUUGAUAUAAGAAAAUCUGUACAUGUAAUAAAAAUGCAAUUUUUAAGACACAUGAUGUAUAAGGGAUUCAAAAGAUUAUUGUUAUAGCAAUUUUUAAUCUUACAGUGUAGAAGAAAAAAUGAAUACAAUCUCUUUUGUGAUUAUUACGCAGAAAAAUAGAGCUUUUUAAUUAUACGUACAGUACACUGAUACAGUACACUGAUACUGUUCUGUACUUCUUUCUUUUACAAAGAAAAAUAUAAUGGUAUAUUAUUAUAAA